UCGAAGAUAGAAAGAUAAAAAAAAAAACAAGUAAAUUAUUACACUGGCAGCACAAGUGGUUAACAGAGGAGGCAACAAACAGCGGAAAGGAACACUAUUAAAUGCUCUGACCCAUGUGAUCCACUGACUGUGUGAAGUGUACGUGCCCCCUCCUGGCUCUGUCACGUGCCAGGCCGAUGACUUCGGAGAAGCCUGCUGGAAAGAUAAACAGCACGAGGGAGGAACUGCUUUGGAUACAAACUCACACCUUGACGUUACGAGAGCUACAGAUGGGGGUGUAGCCGGAGCCGUAAUGGAGUUAUGACCCUGAGAGCAUCCCGGACAAGGACGAGGACCCUGAGCUUUUCAAACCUGCUCUUCCUUCUCCACUUCUACAAAAGGCCCCUUUUUGCACAACAGACUUUUUGACUCGUCACGGUAGGAAAAGCACAGGUGUUAUUUAUAACAUUAAGCCGUGACAGUGUGACAGUGAGCCAGCACGCACAAUACCGCGACCCCUGAACCCGAAGCAGCUCCGAGGAAUUCAUUCAUUGUCAAUUUUUAUGAUUUACACCUGCAAUUUUUCCUACUGUGACAUAUCAAAAGGUAUUCUGUGAAAAAAGGUCUGUUGACAUUGGUGCUAACCUCUAAGGUCACCUCAGGCUGCUUGGACAUGAUCCUAACACAAGAGACUAGAUUUCUUUUUGAGGUUUCAGCCGCAUCUCACAGUCUUCUGCUUUGCUCUGAGGGCCAAAAACCUCACCUUGUGUUCAGAUUUUUUACUAUUUACUGUUUCCAACAUCAGUAAUUUAUUAAAAAAACAGAAAAGCUGUCACCUUUUCCCCCAAAAAUCCUGACAUCUCUUUGUCAUUCAGCCUCUCUGUUGCUGCUUUUAUCUGACUUUUUAAACAGUUUUGAAUGAAUGCAAUAAAAUAAGUUCAAACUGUGGAA
Molecule: long non-coding RNA, 930 nt
Organism: Thunnus maccoyii (southern bluefin tuna)
Lineage: Eukaryota; Metazoa; Chordata; Actinopteri; Scombriformes; Scombridae
Exons: 3
Source: RefSeq, a predicted model, not a curated record